GACGAACGCUGGCGGCGUGCUUAACACAUGCAAGUCGAGCGGUAAGGCCCUUUCGGGGUACGACGAGCGGCGAACGGGUAGAGUAACAACGUGGGUGGACCUCGCCCUCCAGCUCUGGGAGUAAGACCUCGGGAAACCGGGGUACGUAAUACCGGAUAUGACUCCAUGACGCAUGUUGUGGGGUGGAAAGCCUUGUGCGGC
Molecule: ribosomal RNA, 201 nt
Filed under: uncultured bacterium
Lineage: Bacteria
Description: partial 16S ribosomal RNA
Rfam family: Bacterial small subunit ribosomal RNA
Source: RNAcentral